GAGAUGGGCCCCAUCAGGAAAGAGAGAAAGAAAGAAAAGACGAAAAAAAAGGAACAAGCAAAAUUUGAAAGAGUUAAAAGACAGAGAAACAAGGGCAUUAAAGGAAAAGGAAAAGAAAACAAUGAAGAGCAAAGAGAGGACAAUGAGACUACACUGAAAGUAAUGGGGUUAAAAUAAAAAGACCAAAAAAAGUAUAUGCCAUAUUUUAGUCCCAAAGGAAAUAAAAUCUCAGAGGACAAGUGAGGAAUGGAGCUGGUGGUAGAGGACUUUACACAGAAGAAAGGAAGGCUGGGUGGAAUGGGGUACAUGGUGGUGUGGAGGAGUUUAGCAGAGGGAGCAAAGUCAGGCAGCGCAGUAAUCAGCAGAGAACCCAGUCUACUA
Molecule: long non-coding RNA, 381 nt
Organism: Rhinichthys klamathensis goyatoka
Lineage: Eukaryota; Metazoa; Chordata; Actinopteri; Cypriniformes; Leuciscidae
Exons: 2
Source: RefSeq, a predicted model, not a curated record